UUUCCGUAGGUGAACCUGCGGAAGGAUCAUUAUCGAAAUACUUAUUUAGCGUUCCGUGCUAUCCCUUUGUUUUAUUUACCCUGUUGCUUCCACUGGAUGAGUUUCCAUACCUUGUGUUUGAGAAACUUUGGCUUGUGUAAGAUUCAUUCACGGCCAGCCAGUGAGAAGACCAUUUACAAAACCCUGUUAAGAACCAAUUGUCUGAAUAUUUUACUCCAAUGAAAUAAAACUCUCAACAACGGAUCUCUAGGCUCUU
Molecule: unclassified non-coding RNA, 256 nt
Filed under: plant metagenome
Description: partial contains small subunit ribosomal RNA, internal transcribed spacer 1, and 5.8S ribosomal RNA
Source: RNAcentral